GAUGAAGAACGUAGCGAAAUGCGAUAAGUAAUGUGAAUUGCAGAAUUCAGUGAAUCAUCGAAUCUUUGAACGCACAUUGCGCCCUCUGGUAUUCCGGGGGUCAUGCCUGUUCGAGCGUCAUUAUAACCACUCAAGCUUUCGCUUGGUAUUGGGGCUCGCGGUUCCGCGGCCCCUAAAAUCAGUGGCGGUGCCUGUCGGCUCUACGCGUAGUAAUACUCCUCGCGAUUGAGUCCGGUAGGUCUACUUGCCAGCAACCCCCAAUUUUUACAGGUUGACCUCGGAUCAGGUAGGGAUACCCGCUGAACUUAAGCAUAUCAAUAAGCGGAGGA
RNAcentral lists this unclassified non-coding RNA (329 nucleotides) under soil metagenome. RNAcentral's name for it is "partial contains 5.8S ribosomal RNA, internal transcribed spacer 2, and large subunit ribosomal RNA". The stretch from base 1 to 120 matches the Rfam family "5.8S ribosomal RNA", at positions 35 to 154 of the family's 154-position model. The record is from RNAcentral.